RNAcentral lists this ribosomal RNA (467 nucleotides) under Veillonella atypica. RNAcentral's name for it is "bacterial SSU rRNA". It matches the Rfam family "Bacterial small subunit ribosomal RNA", at positions 28 to 471 of the family's 1533-position model. The record is from RNAcentral. Lineage: Bacteria; Bacillati; Bacillota; Negativicutes; Veillonellales; Veillonellaceae.
GACGAACGCUGGCGGCGUGCUUAACACAUGCAAGUCGAACGAAGAGCGAUGGAAGCUUGCUUCUAUCAAUCUUAGUGGCGAACGGGUGAGUAACGCGUAAUCAACCUGCCCUUCAGAGGGGGACAACAGUUGGAAACGACUGCUAAUACCGCAUACGAUCCAAUCUCGGCAUCGAGACUGGAUGAAAGGUGGCCUCUAUUUAUAAGCUAUCACUGAAGGAGGGGAUUGCGUCUGAUUAGCUAGUUGGAGGGGUAACGGCCCACCAAGGCGAUGAUCAGUAGCCGGUCUGAGAGGAUGAACGGCCACAUUGGGACUGAGACGCGGCCCAGACUCCUACGGGAGGCAGCAGUGGGGAAUCUUCCGCAAUGGACGAAAGUCUGACGGAGCAACGCCGCGUGAGUGAUGACGGCCUUCGGGUUGUAAAGCUCUGUUAAUCGGGACGAAGGUUCUUGUGCAAAUAGUGCAAG